AUUGUUCUUCAGCAGUCCAAAAUAUUAGUCAAUGCUCGAAAGAGUGAACUAGCUAACUGAAUCAAUUAAAAAUUGAUAACAUAAGGGAAAAUAAUGAUAUUACCUUAUUAUUAGUGUCGUCCAAAACUGGUGCCAGAAGACUCGGUAAGGCCAGAGACAUAAACGUUAAUCGUCUUAAUCAGGCGUAAAGGGUUUGUAGGCGGCUUUUAAAUUUACUUAUUUAAUUUUAUUUUAUUUUUUUUAAUUAAAAUUUAUAAGUACAGAAUAAAAGCUAGAAUCAAAUAGAGGAUAUAUCAAAUAAUGCUUAGAGUAGGUCUGAUAUCCUUAGAUACUAAGUAGAAUAUUAAAGGCGAAGGCUUUUUUCCAUUAAUGAUUGACGCUCAGAAACGAAGGUGAGGAUAGGAAAUAGGAUUAGAUACCCAAAAUACCCCUCUCUGUCAACGAUGAAUGGUAGUUAUUAGUAAUAAAUUAAUUAAUGACAAUGUUAACACGAUAACCAUUCCGCCUUGUGAGUACAACUGCAAAGUUGAAAACAAAAAAAUUAGUCGGUUUCGGAGCAAACGAAGUGAAGCAUGUUAUUUAAUUCAUUAAUCCGCAGAUGAUUUU
This 606-nucleotide ribosomal RNA is filed under the name Russula sp. RNAcentral's name for it is "partial small subunit ribosomal RNA". It matches the Rfam family "Bacterial small subunit ribosomal RNA", at positions 340 to 972 of the family's 1533-position model. The record is from RNAcentral. Lineage: Eukaryota; Fungi; Basidiomycota; Agaricomycetes; Russulales; Russulaceae.